CCUACGGGUGGCAGCAGUGGGGAAUAUUGGGCAAUGGAGGCAACUCUGACCCAGCAAUGCCGCGUGAAUGAAGAAGGUCUUCGGAUUGUAAAGUUUUUUAAUCAGGGACGAAGGAAAUGACGGUACCUGAGGAAUAAGCCACGGCAAACUAUGUGCCAGCAGCCGCGGUAAUACAUAGGUGGCAAGCGUUGUACGGAAUGAAUGGGUGUAAAGGGAGCGUAGGCGGUCUGUUAAGUUGGAAGUGAAAUCCCGGGGCUCAACCCCGGAACUGCUUUCAAGACUGACGGACUUGAGUGUAAGAGAGGUAAGCGGAAUUCCUGGUGUAGCGGUGGAAUGCGUAGAUAUUAGGAGGAACACCAGUGGCGAAGGCGGCUUACUGGAUUAUAACUGACGCUGAUGCUCGAAAGCGCGGGUAUCGAACAGGAUUAGAUACCCUUGUAGUC
Molecule: ribosomal RNA, 443 nt
Filed under: uncultured bacterium
Lineage: Bacteria
Description: partial 16S ribosomal RNA
Rfam family: Bacterial small subunit ribosomal RNA
Source: RNAcentral